AUUGAACGCUGGCGGCAGGCCUAACACAUGCAAGUCGAGCGGAUGAAGGGAGCUUGCUCCUGGAUUCAGCGGCGGACGGGUGAGUAAUGCCUAGGAAUCUGCCUGGUAGUGGGGGAUAACGUCCGGAAACGGGCGCUAAUACCGCAUACGUCCUGAGGGAGAGAGUGGGGGAUCUUCGGACCUCACGCUAUCAGAUGAGCCUAGGUCGGAUUAGCUAGUUGGUGGGGUAAAGGCCUACCAAGGCGACGAUCCGUAACUGGUCUGAGAGGAUGAUCAGUCACACUGGAACUGAGACACGGUCCAGACUCCUACGGGAGGCAGCCGUGGGGAAUAUUGGACAAUGGGCGAAAGCCUGAUCCAGCCAUGCCGCGUGUGUGAAGAAGGUCUUCGGAUUGUAAAGCACUUUAAGUUGGGAGGAAGGGCAGUAAGUUAAUACCUUGCUGUUUUGACGUUACCAACAGAAUAAGCACCGGCUAACUUCGUG
Molecule: ribosomal RNA, 484 nt
Filed under: uncultured bacterium
Lineage: Bacteria
Description: partial 16S ribosomal RNA
Rfam family: Bacterial small subunit ribosomal RNA
Source: RNAcentral